This 218-nucleotide ribosomal RNA is filed under the name uncultured bacterium. Its description in RNAcentral is "partial 16S ribosomal RNA". It matches the Rfam family "Bacterial small subunit ribosomal RNA", at positions 1282 to 1500 of the family's 1533-position model. The record is from RNAcentral.
ACCAUCCCAGUUCGGAUUGCAGGCUGCAACCCGCCUGUAUGAAGUUGGAAUCGCUAGUAAUCGCGGAUCAGCAUGCCGCGGUGAAUACGUUCCCGGGCCUUGUACACACCGCCGUCACACCAUGAGAGUCGGGAACACCCGAAGUCCGUAGCCUAACCGCAAGGAGGGCGCGGCCGAAGGUGGGUUCGAUAAUUGGGGUGAAGUCGUAACAAGGUAAC